RNAcentral lists this transfer RNA (75 nucleotides) under Bradyrhizobium sp. RNAcentral's name for it is "tRNA-Gln". It matches the Rfam family "tRNA". From Rfam's summary of the family: Transfer RNA (tRNA) molecules are approximately 80 nucleotides in length. Their secondary structure includes four short double-helical elements and three loops (D, anti-codon, and T loops). Further hydrogen bonds mediate the characteristic L-shaped molecular structure. tRNAs have two regions of fundamental functional importance: the anti-codon, which is responsible for specific mRNA codon recognition, and the 3' end, to which the tRNAs corresponding amino acid is attached (by aminoacyl-tRNA synthetases). tRNAs cope with the degeneracy of the genetic code in two manners: having more than one tRNA (with a specific anti-codon) for a particular amino acid; and 'wobble' base-pairing, i.e. permitting non-standard base-pairing at the 3rd anti-codon position. The record is from RNAcentral. Lineage: Bacteria; Pseudomonadati; Pseudomonadota; Alphaproteobacteria; Hyphomicrobiales; Nitrobacteraceae. RNAcentral also lists the same sequence under 8 other names.
UGGGGCGUCGCCAAGUGGUAAGGCAGUGGAUUUUGAUUCCACCAUACGGAGGUUCGAAUCCUCCCGCCCCAGCCA